Molecule: ribosomal RNA, 1935 nt
Filed under: seawater metagenome
Description: bacterial LSU rRNA
Rfam family: Bacterial large subunit ribosomal RNA
Source: RNAcentral
UCAAGUGAAUAAGCGUACACGGUGGAUGCCUUGGCAGCCAGAGGCGAUGAAGGACGUAGUAGCCUGCGAUAAGCUUCGGGGAGUCGGCAAACAGACUUUGAUCCGGAGAUUUCCGAAUGGGGAAACCCACCUGUCAUAAGGCAGGUAUCACAUACUGAAUACAUAGGUAUGUGAGGCGAACGCGGGGAACUGAAACAUCUAAGUACCCGUAGGAACAGAAAUCAAUUGAGAUUCCGUCAGUAGCGGCGAGCGAACGCGGAUUAGCCCUUAAGCUUGUGAAUGAUUAGGAGAACGGUCUGGGAAGGCCGGCCAUAGUGGGUGAUAGCCCCGUAUCCGAAAAUCUGAUCAAGUGAAAUCGAGUAGGUCGGAGCACGUGAAACUUUGACUGAAUGUGGGGGGACCAUCCUCCAAGGCUAAAUACUCCUGGCUGACCGAUAGUGAACCAGUACCGUGAGGGAAAGGCGAAAAGAACCCCGGAGAGGGGAGUGAAAUAGAACCUGAAACCGUGUACGUACAAGCAGUCGGAGCCCUCUUGUGGGGUGACGGCGUACCUUUUGUAUAAUGGGUCAGCGACUUAAUUUCAGUAGCGAGGUUAACCGUUUAGGGGAGCCGUAGGGAAACCGAGUCUUAAUAGGGCGUAUAGUUGCUGGGAUUAGACCCGAAACCGGGCGAUCUAUCCAUGGGCAGGUUGAAGAUGCGGUAACACGCAUUGGAGGACCGAACCGACUACCGUUGAAAAGUUAGCGGAUGACCUGUGGAUCGGAGUGAAAGGCUAAUCAAGCUCGGAGAUAGCUGGUUCUCCCCGAAAGCUAUUUAGGUAGCGCCUCGGACGAAUACCACUGGGGGUAGAGCACUGUUUCGGCUAGGGGGUCAUCCCGACUUACCAAACCGAUGCAAACUCCGAAUACCAGUGAGUACUAUCCGGGAGACACACGGCGGGUGCUAACGUCCGUCGUGAAGAGGGAAACAACCCAGACCGCCAGCUAAGGUCCCAAAAUAUUGCUAAGUGGGAAACGAUGUGGGAAGGCAUAGACAGCUAGGAGGUUGGCUUAGAAGCAGCCACCCUUUAAAGAAAGCGUAAUAGCUCACUAGUCGAGUCGGCCUGCGCGGAAGAUGUAACGGGGCUCAAACUGGAUACCGAAGCUGCGGCUGCAUACUAUGUAUGCGGGGUAGGGGAGCGUUGUGUAAGUCUGUGAAGGUGUGUUGAGAAGCAUGCUGGAGAUAUCACAAGUGCGAAUGCUGACGUGAGUAACGAUAAUGGGAGUGAAAAACUCCCACGCCGAAAGACCAAGGUUUCCUGCGCAACGCUAAUCGGCGCAGGGUGAGUCGGCCCCUAAGGCGAGGCAGAAAUGCGUAGCUGAUGGGAAACAGGUUAAUAUUCCUGUACUUCUUAUAACUGCGAUGGAGAGACGGAGAAGGCUAUGCCUACCGGGCGUUGGUUGUCCCGGGGAAAGGCUGUAGGCUGAGGUGUUAGGCAAAUCCGGCACCUUAAGGCUGAGAGUCGAGACCACUGGUCCUUUGUGACCGGGAAGUGGUUGAUGCCAUGCUUCCAGGAAAAUCUUCUAAGCUUCAGGUUAUAAGGAACCGUACCCCAAACCGACACAGGUGGUUGGGAUGAGUAUUCUAAGGCGCUUGAGAGAACUCGGGUGAAGGAACUAGGCAAAGUGGUACCGUAACUUCGGGAGAAGGUACGCCGCUGACGGUGAUGAGACUUGCUCUCUGAGCUAUCGGCGGUCGCAGUGAAAAGGCCCCUGCAACUGUUUAUUAAAAACACAGCACUCUGCAAACGCGUAAGCGGACGUAUAGGGUGUGACGCCUGCCCGGUGCCGGAAGGUUAAUUGAUGGGGUUAGCUUCGGCGAAGCUCUUGAUCGAAGCCCCGGUAAACGGCGGCCGUAACUAUAACGGUCCUAAGGUAGCGAAAUUCCUUGUCGGGU